AUUGCUUCAUGGCCUUUUGGCUGAGAUCAAGUGUAGUAUCUGUUUUUAUCAGUUUAAGUUAAAAAAAAAAAGAUGGAGGCAUCCGUCAUGCACAGCCAACGUUUAGAAAAAAUAUUUCCUGAUACUAAAGUAUUGGGGACUACCUCUUAAUUUUUAUAAAUUUGGGUCAAAAUCCAUCCCCU
Saimiri boliviensis boliviensis (Bolivian squirrel monkey) is the source of this 182-nucleotide non-coding RNA. NCBI's taxonomy places the organism in Eukaryota, Metazoa, Chordata, Mammalia, Primates, Cebidae. The record is from RefSeq and is a predicted model, not a curated record.